Long non-coding RNA from Harpegnathos saltator (Jerdon's jumping ant), 2003 nucleotides. RefSeq lists it as uncharacterized. The transcript is spliced from 8 exons. The record is from RefSeq and is a predicted model, not a curated record. NCBI's taxonomy places the organism in Eukaryota, Metazoa, Arthropoda, Insecta, Hymenoptera, Formicidae.
GACGAGCGCUCGAAUCCGUUUGAAUGUUGGCGAUAAAAAUAAGUAGAGCAGUCAUGUGAUGUUGCACGAACAUGUCGCGACGAAAUAUAUAAUGUAUAAGAAACUCGAGGACUAUUUAUUUUGUAGUACGAUGCGUUUGCAUCAGUGUGGAUGUACAGCAGGGCGUGCAAACUCUUAUGGAGCAAAAAUGAUUAGCGUUAGCAGCGCUCUCUGAGAUGGGACAUGUGAGAAAUCGCAACUAAUUUGUGGCCGCCAUAUUGCUACAGUUGCGUUCGCUUUAAUGCACUUUAAUGCUUUCAAGCUUUAACGCUUUAAAGCCUUCAAUAAGAAAAAAAGUGUUACGAAGAAGAGAUGUUACGAGAAUGAAGCACGAGAAGAAGCAGGUGCGAGAAGGAAAAAGUUUUAGUAUUACUGCCAGUAACGACAACCAAAGUAAGGACUACAAGAAAAAAACAAGAGAAGAAGAAAAAACAAGAAGAAACAGUUAUUCAAGAAAAUCUUUUCCCUGUUAGCGACAAACAACUUGUUUUGUUUGAGUCUCAUAACAGCGGGAUCAAGAUGGUACGAGUAUGUUGUGUACCAGAAUGUUCGACAGGGAAGACAGCACCAUCGAUAUUGCAAAGAAGUGGACUAUCCGACUUGAACCUGAAACAUAUUAAUCAAGAUAUCGUGGAAAAUUGUUUCAGCCAGAUUAGAGACCAGGGUCAUAGAAAUAACAACCCUACGCUACAAUAAUUCAGCGCAUCUUUUAAAACGCUGUUGUGUACUAAUUUGAUUUCUAAGAAAUCACUGUCUUCCAAUUGUGAGGAAAGCCAAGAAGGCACGUCACUAGCUUUGCUGAAAAUGUUUCGUGCUGGAGAAUUAGCUGCAAACGAAGAAGGCACAAAAGAUAUUGAAUAUGCUGAAUAUGCGAUCCCACAACCAACAAGAAAUACAGAUGUAUACGUAAAACCGCAAAAAAUUAUAAAAAAUCUUGCUACACACAAAAUAGCAAUAGAAUGCUCUGAAUGUGCUGAAUAUGUAAAAAGCGACAAUAUUUUGCAAGAAAUUAUGGAGAAAAUAAAAGUCGCACUAAUGAAAUUUAUAUUUCUGUUACGAACAUAAAGUUAAAGAAAAAUUAAUAAAAGCAUUAUAUGAAGAAGAAGCAAUAAUAAGCAGAGCACGUUGUCCCACUUUGCAACAAGUUUUGGAUGAAAACAUCACAGGAGAAUUCAUCACAGCAUGGUGUGCAAUUAUCAAUAACAUUUUAAAUAGCAGGACAGAAGUACAAGAGACAUCCAAUUAUAUGUUAAAAGAAGCAAGAAGAAUGUGCAAAAGAUUUGAGGAAAAGUCAACAAUAAAAAGUAAAAAAUGAAAAUGUUACGAUACAUGGAAUCAUAGCUACAUGUAUAUUAUGAUAAUUAUGCCUACAGCAAGGAGAGAAGCAUUUUGCAAGAAUAAACAGGACUUUUUUCAGGAUAAGUUAGUGGACACUACUCAAGAAUUGGGACAUCACAGGAUCUUCCAUCUGGUAAAGACACAGCUAUUUUGUAAUAGCUGUGUCUUCAUCAGAUGGAAGAGAACAUUGGAAGGAUGAGCAGGACUUUUCGACAGCAACAUACUACGCCAGUAGAACGAGUUGGGCACUAUUCAAUAAUUGGGACGUCGCAGGAUUUUCUAUCUGGUAAAGACACUAUUUUGUAAUAGCUGUGUCUUCAUCAGAUGGAAGAAGAGAACAUUGGAAGGAUGACCAGGACUUUUCGACAGCAACAUACUACGCCAGUAGAACGAGUUGGGCACUAUUCAAUAAUUGGGACGUCGCAGGAUUUUCUAUCUGGUAAAGACACUAUUUUGUAAUAGCUGUGUCUUCAUCAGAUGGAAGAAGAGAACAUUGGAAGGAUGACCAGGACUUUUCGACAGCAACAUACUAUGCCACAGAACAGAAUGUACAGGAGCAAGCUACACACUAUUUAGGGACAAGGACAUCGUUGGAUUUUCCAUAAUAUACACAAAUAUUAUUACAA